Molecule: ribosomal RNA, 245 nt
Filed under: uncultured bacterium
Lineage: Bacteria
Description: partial 16S ribosomal RNA
Rfam family: Bacterial small subunit ribosomal RNA
Source: RNAcentral
GAUCCUAGCUCAGGAUGAACGCUAGCGGCAGGCUUAACACAUGCAAGUCGAGGGGCAGCGAGAUCAAAGCUUGCUUUGAUUGUCGGCGACCGGCGCACGGGUACGUAACGCGUAUGCAACCUACCCACUACAGGGGGAUAACACUGAGAAAUCGGUACUAAUACCCCAUAAUAUCUUGGAAGGCAUCUUCUGGGGUUGAAAACUCCGGUGGUAGUGGAUGGGCAUGCGUUGUAUUAGCUAGUUGG